RNAcentral lists this non-coding RNA (31 nucleotides) under Mus musculus (house mouse). The record is from RNAcentral. Lineage: Eukaryota; Metazoa; Chordata; Mammalia; Rodentia; Muridae.
UGUGAUUGUAUACAAUAAAGAGUAGAGGAGU